AACGAACGCUGGCGGCGCGCCUAAUACAUGCAAGUCGAGCGAGAAGACGUAGCAAUACGUUUGUAAAGCGGCGAACGGGUGAGGAAUACAUGGGUAACCUACCCUAGAGUGGGGAAUAACUAGCCGAAAGGUUAGCUAAUACCGCGUACGCUCCUUGGACUUCGGUUUCAGGGAGGAAAGCGAUACCGAGGGUAUCGCGCUCUUGGAUGGGCUCAUGUCCUAUCAGCUUGUUGGGAGG
RNAcentral lists this ribosomal RNA (238 nucleotides) under uncultured bacterium. Its description in RNAcentral is "partial 16S ribosomal RNA". It matches the Rfam family "Bacterial small subunit ribosomal RNA", at positions 29 to 256 of the family's 1533-position model. The record is from RNAcentral.